AUGUCGAGCCUGAUAGAUAUUUGGACGGUGGAGGUGGACAGGAUCCGGGCCAUGAGGAGAACGGGGGGGCCGUUCAGACCCACGGCUUCUCCCGGCGCACAAGAAGCCGGCCACGUAGCUCGGCCGUCCGGGUCCGGCGACGGAAAUGGAACGCCAACACCUGAUGGUGCCACGGCUUGGCCGGCCAGGGAUCAGGCUGCCGGCGCUGGCUCGCCGUCGUCGCCGGUGCUCGUCCGGGAGGACGCCUUCUUGUCCAUCCUGGUCGAUUGCUUCGGUCAGUAG
Molecule: ribosomal RNA, 282 nt
Filed under: Triticum aestivum (bread wheat)
Lineage: Eukaryota; Viridiplantae; Streptophyta; Magnoliopsida; Poales; Poaceae
Description: partial small subunit ribosomal RNA
Source: RNAcentral